AGCUCCAAUAGCGUAUAUUAAAGUUGUUGCAGUUAAAAAGCUCGUAGUUGGAUUUCGGAACCGGCCGAUUGGUCCGCCCAUUGGGUCGUGUACUGAUCGGUCGUUUCUUCUUCGCGAAGACCGCGUGUGCCCUUAACUGGGUGGGCGUGGGAUUCACGACGUUUACUUUGAAAAAAUUAGAGUGUUCAAAGCAGGCAUUCGCUUGAAUAUCUCAGCAUGGAAUAAUAGAAUAGGAAUUUGGUCUUAUUUUGUUGGUUUCCGAGACCGAAGUAAUGAUUAAUAGGGACAGUUGGGGGCAUUCGUAUUUCAUUGUCAGAGGUGAAAUUCUUGGAUUUAUGAAAGACGAACUUCUGCGAAAGCAUUUGCCAAGGAUGUUUUCA
Molecule: ribosomal RNA, 380 nt
Filed under: marine Metazoa environmental sample
Lineage: Eukaryota; Metazoa
Description: SSU rRNA
Rfam family: Eukaryotic small subunit ribosomal RNA
Source: RNAcentral